CUGCAUAAAAGGCUUAGAAGUAUUCUUUUUAUACCCACAUAUAUUUUUAAAUAUGAUCACACCAAGCCAUUAAUGUCUGCAUGAUAAACUAGCAACUUUAGCUUCUGCUAUUAAUUCAACAUCUAACAGCAAUUUUAGCCAACACUCAGUAACACUUGGUGCUAUAAGUAAUGAUACAGUUCAAAUGCAGACUCUGACAGCUUAACCUGCACUGACCCAAACAUAUAUAAAAAGUCUGGCUUUCAUGUUAGGCUGUUUGGCUGAUGCAUCAUAGCUACACAGUAAAAUACUUCAAAAUGCCUCUGUCAGUCCUCCGGGGAGACUCAAGGAACACUUGAGAAUUGUUCCCACUGAGCCCUGGUUUCUUAUAGCUAGACAAAUAAAUAUUAUUACAAUUUGAACAGUCACCAUAGUCAUAUUAAAAUAUUCUCUUGAUGCUUGCCUACAUGUAUAUUUCACACAGGCCCCUUUAUUCUGUCCCCUCACCCACUGGAAGCAAACCUUAUGCAAGCGCCACUAAACUACAUUUGCUCUCCUACAAAGCCUCUAGCUUUGUGUUGCAAAAGAGUUCAAGUGGAAAUGCCAAGCCACUUAAAAUGUAGAUGGUAUCACUUCACGCUGGAUUAGGCCAAGCAUUGCCAUAAUUCACAGUUUGCUUCAGUAUCUGGAAAUCUAUAUAACUUGUUAGAUUUAAGGGCCAUAAAGAAAACAGACAUAAAUAUGAUAAGAAGUCUAAACAUAAAGAGACCAACAAAGAGGGAAGGUAUAAUUUAAAGGGAAAACGGGUGAUGCUAAUAGAUAAUAUGUAGCAAAAUAUUUAAAAAUAAAGAAAAGCAGGAAGACAAAGAGAUAAAAGCUGUAAUCUCUCAAACGCAUUAUAAAGUGUGUUUUCAUGUAUUGUUUUGGUGGCGCAUUCAGCAAGGAAGAGAAGAAAGCUCAAUCUGUGAGUACCGUGUAUGGUUGGGCCUGAGCCGAUCGAUACAACAGUCCCAGGACUUUUCACUAGAAAGAUGUUUGGCUCAAGCACAUGACGCAAGGAGGAACACUAUAGAAGAGAAUUAUGGCAUAGCAUCCUCCUUACAGUACCAGACAAGGAUGUUCAAGUUCCCUGACACAGAAAAACACAUAUCUUCAUACGGCCAAGAGCCAAAGAACACCCACACACACCUUAGACAGCUGAGACAGCUUCAGAAAUGUGAAAAUUGAUCACUAAAUGGAAGAAUGACACUCGCAACUCUCCAGCCUCCUGCUCUGCUCCCAGAGGGGCCCAAGGUAACCUACAGCUGGUCAGCACAACCCAGAGACCAUUUCAGCAUCCUUUUCUGGGCCACAGGUUCCCCAGCCUAGAGAGCUGAACUACUGAGCAGCCCUCUGGUACCACAGGCCCUUUUUGGGGAGGUACAUUUGGACUAUUCAAAGCUACAGGAUAUUCCACAGCUAGCAGCUCUGCCCCUCUAAUAAGGGAGCUGCUGGCCUUUCUUAACCUUUAUUUUCUUAAGAGCUGAAGGCGAUGAGAGCUGAUAACACCAACCCUGUGCAGAAGAUUCCUCAGAAAAGCACAUACGUACAUUUGAAAUAUAUCUAGACUGUUUUCCCAUAUAUUAUGCACUAUUACUGACACUUCCAAGUGCUGAAUGAAGUCUGAAUGAUCAGGAUCUGAGAAGAUACCACGGUAAAGAGAAGCUCUCCCUGCAUUUCCAGCCCCACCACUGGCUUCAUCUCUGAAUGGGACGCAGCAAGCAACAGCCCCAAAAGCUGAGAGCUUCUCCUCCACGCAGACAGGAGCAGGUACUGCUCUGGGUAACCAUGUUCUUCACCUGCACUGGACCUUCACACAUGAAUGCUCCACUGAGCAGAUGUAAAAAUAUUUUAGAAAGGCUUUCAAGAGAAAGCUCUUAUUAAAAAUCCUAAACUGCACAGUGUGUGGAACAAUAACACUGUCUGCCUGAAAAUGUCAUAUCCUUGUCUGAACAGCCCAAUACCUUAUGUGCUCUGAAUAAAGAUAGAGAUGUAAUUGCUUUUCUUGUUACG
This is a long non-coding RNA of Anser brachyrhynchus (Pink-footed goose), 2031 nucleotides long. The record is from Ensembl. Lineage: Eukaryota; Metazoa; Chordata; Aves; Anseriformes; Anatidae.